Molecule: transfer RNA, 72 nt
Filed under: Camelus bactrianus (Bactrian camel)
Lineage: Eukaryota; Metazoa; Chordata; Mammalia; Artiodactyla; Camelidae
Also listed under: 3 other names
Rfam family: tRNA
About the family: Transfer RNA (tRNA) molecules are approximately 80 nucleotides in length. Their secondary structure includes four short double-helical elements and three loops (D, anti-codon, and T loops).
Source: Rfam by way of RNAcentral
GUGGGUAUAGCUUAGUGGCAGAGUGUGUGCUUAGCAUGCAUGAGGUCCUGGAUUCAAUACCCAGUACUUCCA